Molecule: ribosomal RNA, 828 nt
Filed under: uncultured Diversispora
Lineage: Eukaryota; Fungi; Glomeromycota; Glomeromycetes; Diversisporales; Diversisporaceae
Description: eukaryotic LSU rRNA
Rfam family: Eukaryotic large subunit ribosomal RNA
Source: RNAcentral
UGACCUCAGCUCAAGCAAGAAAACGCGCUGAACUUAAGCGUAUCAAUAAGCGGAGGAAAAGAAACUAACAAGGAUUCCCCUAGUAACGGCGAGUGAAGAGGGAAAAGCUCAAAUUUUAAUCUACCUGGUUCCCAGGUCGAAUUGUAAUUUGAAGAAGCGAUAUCUGUGUUGAGGUCUGGUUCAAGUUCUUUGGAACAAGACAUCAUGGAGGGUGAGAAUCCCGUGCAUGAUCAGACCAAGAUACUUAAUAUUCGUUUUCUAAGAGUCGAGUUGUUUGGGAAUGCAGCUCAAAUUGGGUGGUAGACUUCACCUAANGCUNAAUAUCAGCGAGAGACCGAUAGCGAACAAGUACUGUGAAGGAAAGAUGAAAAGCACUUUGAAAAGAGAGUUAAAUAGUACGUGAAAUUGUUGAAAGGGAAACGAUUGAAGUCAGUCAUGCUAGUGAAAAUUCAGUUUGGCGGGUUUUAGGUUUGGGAGUAAGAGACAGGGUCAAACCAUCUCUCUUUUAAACUUGGGAUUUGUCGGACGCACUUUUUCUUUGGCAGGUCAGCGUCGAUUUCGGGGGUUGUAAAAUACUUGGGGAAAAGUAGCUCUGCUUCGGGAGAGUGUUAUAGACCUUGGGAGAUGCAGCCUGCGGGAUCGAGGAUUGCAGCAAAUGCCAUUGGCUUGUCGCCUGAUCUUUGAUUGUUACCUUGUUUAUGACAACAUUCUUGUCAUCGAUGAGUACUAAUGGUUAUGGGUUAGAACGAUCAAAAAUUUGCUAAGGAUGCUGACGUAAUGGCUUUAAACGACCCGUCUUGAAACACGGACCAAGGAGUCUAACAUAUG